AAAUGCAAAGAUAAAAACGCAACGUACAAUCAUUUAUGUACCAGAGCCGGUAGGUAGCCCGGCCGUCCUAUGUAAAUAGGGUAAGUAACCUGCCCCUCCGGGUUGUCCAUUCUUUGCCUAAUUAAU
RNAcentral lists this non-coding RNA (126 nucleotides) under Anaerostipes hadrus. RNAcentral describes it as "Azaaromatic sequence". It matches the Rfam family "azaaromatic riboswitch aptamer (yjdF RNA)". The record is from RNAcentral. Lineage: Bacteria; Bacillati; Bacillota; Clostridia; Lachnospirales; Lachnospiraceae.